This is a non-coding RNA of Danio rerio (zebrafish), 325 nucleotides long. NCBI's taxonomy places the organism in Eukaryota, Metazoa, Chordata, Actinopteri, Cypriniformes, Danionidae. The record is from Ensembl.
CUUGCAUAAGUUUUUCAAGCACGUGUGUUGCAGGGCAUGCUAUUAAACAGACUUUCAACUUUGCAUGCACGGAGUUCUGGAACAUGUGAACCUGCAUCUCCACCAAAGGGAAGGACUGCCUGAAACUAUCGUUGAAGAGGAAGACCUCUCUCUGGUGGACUCCAGACCUCUGAGGACGAUUAGGGUCCGGGACUUCAUGGAGCUGACAGCAGCACACCAGUCUCCGGUGAGGCAGAGACAAAACCUUUAAUCAAAGAAAAGAGACUGAAUUAAAGGCAGCGGGAGAGAGAGUCAGUUCCUGUGGGAAGAUUACGCAACACCAACA